Rana temporaria (common frog) is the source of this 538-nucleotide long non-coding RNA. RefSeq lists it as uncharacterized. The transcript is spliced from 5 exons. NCBI's taxonomy places the organism in Eukaryota, Metazoa, Chordata, Amphibia, Anura, Ranidae. The record is from RefSeq and is a predicted model, not a curated record.
UGUAUUGCACGCAUUGCUUUGGGACUUGUUUCAGCUGUGAUUGGCCCACCCGAUAUCAUGUGAUGCUUACACGUCACACAUCGGGUUAGGACAGCCUAUUUAAACGGCAUUUUGCUGCACACUCAGUGCAGAAUGCCGCAGGGUCAUAUGUUCAGUGAGCACUCUUGUCCUUAAUGCUUUGCAGUUCCCCUCCUGGAUCAAGCAGCUGAUUUCUUCUGGCUUUAUACACACUAAGCUUAUUGUGACUUUGCAACACUGCCUGCGAUCCUUAUAUAGAUCUUAUACAGAUAUUUUGGGAAAUCUACAUGAUUCCUUCCUUGAAUUAACACUGCAGCUGGAUUGCUCAUUGAUGUCCCUGGUCUUUAACCCCAUAAACCGUUAUAUAUGAUCAUGCACAUGACCAUUUUCACCUCGGCGGUUUUCUGUGUUUGUCGCUAGUUGUGGGCAACUCGUGGUUGCAUAUUUUGACUGGAUAUCGCUCCCUCCCCUGAAGAAGCGGAAGUCCGCGAAACAUGUAGGGUCCAUGCGAUUUCCUUUU